Molecule: ribosomal RNA, 499 nt
Filed under: uncultured bacterium
Lineage: Bacteria
Description: bacterial SSU rRNA
Rfam family: Bacterial small subunit ribosomal RNA
Source: RNAcentral
CGCUGGCGGCGUGCUUAACACGAUGGCAAGUCGAACGGGGGAUCGAUCGGGGCGGAAGGGCUUCGGCCGGAAGGCUGGUGAUUCUAGUGGCGGACGGGUGAGUAACGCGUGAACAAUCUGUCCCAGACAGGGGGAUAACACUUGGAAACAGGUGCUAAUACCGCAUGAGACCACGGUGUCGCAUGGCACAGGGGUAAAAGGAGUAAUCCGGUUUGGGGUGAGUUCGCGUCCGAUUAGCCAGUUGGCGGGGUAACGGCCCACCAAAGCGACGAUCGGUAGCCGACCUGAGAGGGUGAUCGGCCACAUUGGAACUGAGAGACGGUCCAAACUCCUACGGGAGGCAGCAGUGGGGAAUAUUGGGCAAUGGGCGAAAGCCCUGACCCAGCAACGCCGCGUAGAGUGUAAGAAGGCCUUCGGGUUGUAAAGCUCUGUUAUAGGGGACGAAGUGCGUGACGGUACCCUAUAAGGAAGCCCCGGCUAACUACGUGCCAGCCGCCGC